This 154-nucleotide small RNA is filed under the name Pongo abelii (Sumatran orangutan). Lineage: Eukaryota; Metazoa; Chordata; Mammalia; Primates; Hominidae. The record is from RNAcentral.
GCCGAGCAUGAUGGCGGGCGCCUGUAGUCCCAGCUACUGGGGAGGAGGCUGAGGCAGGAGAAUGGCGUGAACCUGGGAGGCAGAGCUUGCAGUGAGCGGAGAUCGCACCACUGCACUCCAGCCUGGGCGACAGAGUGAGAUUCCGUCUCAAAAA